UCCCUUGUUCUCCUUGAAAGCAACUGUCUGCGGCAAGUGCGAAAUAAACCACUUGUACAGCAGGGGUAGACAGCAGACAAUAACUCCUCCACCUUUUGCAUUCCUCAGAUGCAAAGAGACAUAGGCAUCGCCCAACAAAGUCGGAACGGGAUUAAGAACUGAGAAGAUCCUAAUGGCGUUCAUGUCCACGAACUUGUCGAAGUUGGGAAACAACACCAAUC
This 221-nucleotide long non-coding RNA is filed under the name Lathyrus oleraceus (garden pea). Its description in RNAcentral is "Pisum sativum (pea) long non-coding RNA (PSAT_LNC031436)". Lineage: Eukaryota; Viridiplantae; Streptophyta; Magnoliopsida; Fabales; Fabaceae. The record is from RNAcentral.